CAGAUCUUCCCUUGCUAUUGGACGUUGGGAGUCCUGACCUGAACCCGCCAUCAACUGCUUCCAGCAAGGCCUGCGGUUCCUUCCCUCUCCUGGAGAGAACUGGGUGUGAGAUGGAGAGUUUUAUUUAGGUAGGACACACAGCUGUUCUGAAAUAUAAAUACUGCCCCACUUACAAGUUAGGAAAAGCAGCUUAAAGCUGAACUAUAAGGAAAACUCCAUAAAAGCUGACUGACUUAC
Molecule: long non-coding RNA, 237 nt
Filed under: Gallus gallus (chicken)
Lineage: Eukaryota; Metazoa; Chordata; Aves; Galliformes; Phasianidae
Source: RNAcentral